UUGAACAUCCCAGGUGACCGUCCACAGGGACUUUGAUCUGGCAUGCAGAAUGCUGGAAGGGCAAAGUAUUGUGUACCUUUCUGUCCCUCUGGGAACAAGGAAGGGAUCUGCCAGAGAACUUGCUGGAGAGUCGGCAUUUUGAUUAUAUGAGACUAGCUAACCUGCUGCUUUCCAAUUUUUAGCAUAGCAUCCAGGAAGAAUGGGAUUUCUGUUGGAAUUAUGCAUAAAAAAAAUUUCCAGGGAGGUAUGAUAAUGGGGGAGGAAGAAGUGGAUAUUGAACCUGGGAUUUUUUUUUUUUUAACUUCUCCAAUUUUCUCUCUUCACAAAUGUGAAAUGUUUUCUAGCAAAUUUCUCGCGUAUGUUUUUAGGCAUGAUAAUCAAGUUGUACUUUAUUAUCUUAAAAAGAUUGUUCUUGGUGUGGUGAGGCUCCGCAGGAGGGAUAGUGCCUAGCACCGCUCUGUAAAUUCUAUGGAUGUAUUGAUUUUAUGUAGAGACGGCUAAAUGCAUCCGAAGGGAAUUGCAUCUUGGUGGACAUAUGUUUGAACUGCUGUCAGUAAUGAAGAUGAAGAAGCUGGCCUCAGAGUGGGAGUUACCUCACAUGCAGUCACAGACCUCAUUAGUACAGAUUCUCAAAGCCAUCACCUGCUUCCUUAAAUCAAGCCUACAUCAAAUGAAUAAACAGCAGUGAAGAAAGUCUUCCACAUUUCAAUUCAC
Molecule: non-coding RNA, 714 nt
Organism: Macaca mulatta (Rhesus monkey)
Lineage: Eukaryota; Metazoa; Chordata; Mammalia; Primates; Cercopithecidae
Source: RefSeq, a predicted model, not a curated record